Molecule: long non-coding RNA, 217 nt
Filed under: Rattus norvegicus (Norway rat)
Lineage: Eukaryota; Metazoa; Chordata; Mammalia; Rodentia; Muridae
Description: long non-coding RNA NONRATT005871
Source: RNAcentral
CCAGGUUGUGUUGCCGUGUGUGUGCAGGUGAGGCCAGGUUGUGUUGCCGUGUGUGUGCAGGUGAGGCCAGGUUGUGUUGCCGUGUGUGUGCAGGUGAGGCCAGGUUGUGUUGCUGUGUGUGUGCAGGUGAGGCCAGGUUGUGUUGCUGUGUGAGUGUGUGUGCAGGUGAGGCCAUGUUGUGUUGCUGUGUGAGUGUGUGUGCAGGUGAGGUCAGGUU